CAGUCGCCGCGGUAAUACGAAGGGUGCAAGCGUUAAUCGGAAUUACUGGGCGUAAAGCGUGCGUAGGCGGUGAGUUAAGUCUGCUGUGAAAUCCCCGGGCUCAACCUGGGAAUGGCAGUGGAUACUGGCUCGCUAGAGUGUGUCAGAGGAUGGUGGAAUUCCCGGUGUAGUGGUGAAAUGCGUAGAGAUCGGGAGGAACAUCAGUGGCGAAGGCGGCCAUCUGGGACAACACUGACGCUGAGGCACGAAAGCGUGGGGAGCAAACAGGAUUAGAUACCCCAGUAGUCCCUGUCUCUUAUAC
This 301-nucleotide ribosomal RNA is filed under the name uncultured bacterium. RNAcentral's name for it is "partial 16S ribosomal RNA". It matches the Rfam family "Bacterial small subunit ribosomal RNA", at positions 509 to 807 of the family's 1533-position model. The record is from RNAcentral.